AACCCGGUGAUCUAGCCAUGGGCAGGUUGAAGGUUGGGUAACACUAACUGGAGGACCGAACCGACUAAUGUUGAAAAAUUAGCGGAUGACUUGUGGCUGGGGGUGAAAGGCCAAUCAAACCGGGAGAUAGCUGGUUCUCCCCGAAAGCUAUUUAGGUAGCGCCUCGUGAACUCAUCUUCGGGGGUAGAGCACUGUUUCGACUAGGGGGUCAUCCCGACUUACCAACUCGAUGCAAACUACGAAUACCGAAGAAUGUUAUCACGGGAGACACACGGCGGGUGCUAACGUUCGUCGUGAAGAGGGAAACAACCCAGACCGCCAGCUAAGGUCCCAAAGUCAUAGUUAAGUGGGAAACGAAGUGGGAAGGCUCAGACAGCCAGGAUGUUGGCUUAGAAGCAGCCAUCAUUUAAAGAAAGCGUAAUAGCUCACUGGUCGAGUCGGCCUGCGCGGAAGAUGUAACGGGGCUAAACUAUGCACCGAAGCUGCGGCAGCGAACGUAUCACUUAAACUGAUUAAGUGAUACUCAAAUGUAUCAAAACGAUUGACGGAGCGAAGCGACGUCAAUGCGUCCAACAAAGUCGAGGCGGAAACGUCAGGCAGUCAGUUUAAGGAUACGUUCGUUGGGUAGGGGAGCGUUCUGUAAGCCUGUGAAGGUGUGCUGUGAGGCAUGCUGGAGGUAUCAGAAGUGCGAAUGCUGACAUAAGUAACGAUAAUGCGGGUGAAAAACCCGCACGCCGGAAGACCAAGGGUUCCUGUCCAACGUUAAUCGGGGCAGGGUGAGUCGACCCCUAAGGCGAGGCAGAAAUGCGUAGUCGAUGGGAAACGGGUUAAUAUUCCCGUACUGGUGAUAAUUGCGAUGGGGGGACGGAGAAGGCUAGGCUAUCCGGGCGACGGUUGUCCCGGUUUAAGGAUGUAGGCAGGUGAA
This 925-nucleotide ribosomal RNA is filed under the name Providencia rettgeri. RNAcentral describes it as "partial 23S ribosomal RNA". It matches the Rfam family "Bacterial large subunit ribosomal RNA", at positions 719 to 1532 of the family's 2925-position model. The record is from RNAcentral. Lineage: Bacteria; Pseudomonadati; Pseudomonadota; Gammaproteobacteria; Enterobacterales; Morganellaceae.